GACGAACGCUGGCGGCGUGCUUAACACAUGCAAGUCGAACGCUGAAGCCUAGCUUGCUGGGUGGAUGAGUGGCGAACGGGUGAGUAACACGUGAGUAACCUGCCCUCUUCUUUGGGAUAACGCCCGGAAACGGGUGCUAAUACUGGAUAUUCACUGAUUCUCGCAUGGGGGUUGGUGGAAAGGUUUUUUCUGGUGGGGGAUGGGCUCGCGGCCUAUCAGCUUGUUGGUGGGGUGAUGGCCUACCAAGGCUUUGACGGGUAGCCGGCCUGAGAGGGUGACCGGUCACAUUGGGACUGAGAUACGGCCCAGACUCCUACGGGAGGCAGCAGUGGGGAAUAUUGCACAAUGGGCGAAAGCCUGAUGCAGCGACGCCGCGUGAGGGAUGGAGGCCUUCGGGUUGUAAACCUCUUUCGCUCAUGGUCAAGCCGCAACGCUGGUUGUGGUGAGGGUAGUGGGUAAAGAAGCGCCGGCCAACUACGUGCCAGCAGCCGCGGUAAUACGUAAGGCGCCACC
RNAcentral lists this ribosomal RNA (513 nucleotides) under uncultured Prevotella sp. RNAcentral describes it as "bacterial SSU rRNA". It matches the Rfam family "Bacterial small subunit ribosomal RNA", at positions 28 to 539 of the family's 1533-position model. Lineage: Bacteria; Pseudomonadati; Bacteroidota; Bacteroidia; Bacteroidales; Prevotellaceae. The record is from RNAcentral.